GAUAGGCUAAUUAAGGGCGUAUGGGGAAUGCCUAGGCUCUCAGAGGCGAAGAAGGACGUGAUAAGCUGCGAAAAGCUGCGGGGAAUGGCACAUACAUUGUGAUCCGCAGAUAUCCGAAUGGGGCAACCCACUAUAUUGAAGAUAUAGUAUCCGAUUUAUCGGAAGCAAACCCGGGGAACUGAAACAUCUAAGUACCCGGAGGAGAAGAAAACAAAAGUGAUUCCGCUAGUAGUGGCGAGCGAACGCGGAAUAGCCCAAACC
Molecule: ribosomal RNA, 261 nt
Filed under: uncultured Flavobacteriaceae bacterium
Lineage: Bacteria; Pseudomonadati; Bacteroidota; Flavobacteriia; Flavobacteriales; Flavobacteriaceae
Description: partial 23S ribosomal RNA
Rfam family: Bacterial large subunit ribosomal RNA
Source: RNAcentral